This 492-nucleotide ribosomal RNA is filed under the name uncultured bacterium. Its description in RNAcentral is "partial 16S ribosomal RNA". It matches the Rfam family "Bacterial small subunit ribosomal RNA", at positions 29 to 507 of the family's 1533-position model. The record is from RNAcentral.
AGUGAACGCUGGCGGUAGGCCUAACACAUGCAAGUCGAACGGCAGCACAGUAAGAGCUUGCUCUUACGGGUGGCGAGACGCGGACGGGUGAGGAAUACAACGGACUCUACUUUUUCGUGGGGGAUAACGUAGGGAAACUUACGCUCAUACCGCAUACGACCUACGGGUGAAAGCAGUGGAUCUUCGCACCUUGCGCGAAUGAAUUAGCCGAUGUCGGAGUUGCUAGUUGGCGGGGUAAAGGCCCACCCAGGCGCCGAUCCGUUGCUGGUCUGAGAGGAGGGUCGGCCGCCUGGGAACUGGGACACGGUCCAUGCGCCUACGGGAGGCAGCAGUGGGGAAUAUUGGACAAUGGGCGGAAGCCUGAUCCAGCCAUACCGCGUGGGUGAAGAAGGCCUUCGGGUUGUAAAGCCGUUUUGUUGGGAAAGAAAAGCAGCAGGUUAAUACCCCGCUGUUCUGACGGUACCCAAAGAAUAAGCACCGGCUAACUUCGUG